This 811-nucleotide ribosomal RNA is filed under the name Salmonella enterica. Its description in RNAcentral is "partial 23S ribosomal RNA". It matches the Rfam family "Bacterial large subunit ribosomal RNA", at positions 711 to 1434 of the family's 2925-position model. RNAcentral also lists the same sequence under 2 other names. Lineage: Bacteria; Pseudomonadati; Pseudomonadota; Gammaproteobacteria; Enterobacterales; Enterobacteriaceae. The record is from RNAcentral.
AGACCCGAAACCCGGUGAUCUAGCCAUGGGCAGGUUGAAGGUUGGGUAACACUAACUGGAGGACCGAACCGACUAAUGUUGAAAAAUUAGCGGAUGACCUGUGGCUGGGGGUGAAAGGCCAAUCAAACCGGGAGAUAGCUGGUUCUCCCCGAAAGCUAUUUAGGUAGCGCCUCGUGAAUUCAUCUCCGGGGGUAGAGCACUGUUUCGGCUAGGGGGCCAUCCCGGCUUACCAACCCGAUGCAAACUGCGAAUACCGGAGAAUGUUAUCACGGGAGACACACGGCGGGUGCUAACGUCCGUCGUGAAGAGGGAAACAACCCAGACCGCCAGCUAAGGUCCCAAAGUCAUGGUUAAGUGGGAAACGAUGUGGGAAGGCCCAGACAGCCAGGAUGUUGGCUUAGAAGCAGCCAUCAUUUAAAGAAAGCGUAAUAGCUCACUGGUCGAGUCGGCCUGCGCGGAAGAUGUAACGGGGCUAAACCAUGCACCGAAGCUGCGGCAGCGAACGUAUCACCCAAGACAACUUUACGGAGUUGACGAUUGACGGAGCGAAGCGACGUCAAAGCGUUCAUUAAAGUCGAGUUGGCUUAGGGAUACGUUCGUUGGGUAGGGGAGCGUUCUGUAAGCCUGUGAAGGUGUGUCGUGAGGCAUGCUGGAGGUAUCAGAAGUGCGAAUGCUGACAUAAGUAACGAUAAAGCGGGUGAAAAGCCCGCUCGCCGGAAGACCAAGGGUUCCUGUCCAACGUUAAUCGGGGCAGGGUGAGUCGACCCCUAAGGCGAGGCCGAAAGGCGUAGUCGAUGGGAAACGGGUUAAU